GCUGGAGCGUCGGGCCCAUACCCGGCCAUCGCUGCAGUUUUAUCCGGUAAAGCGAAUAAUUAGAGGUCUUGGGGCCGAAACGAUCUCAAC
This 90-nucleotide microRNA precursor is filed under the name Erinaceus europaeus (western European hedgehog). RNAcentral describes it as "miRNA (ENSEEUG00000023112.1)". The record is from RNAcentral. Lineage: Eukaryota; Metazoa; Chordata; Mammalia; Eulipotyphla; Erinaceidae.